AAUAUUGCACAAUGGAGGGAACUCUGAUGCAGCGACGCCGCGUGAGUGAAGAAGGGUUUCUGGUCGUAAAGCUCUGUCCUCAGGGAAGAAGAAAGUGACGGUACCUGAGAAUAUAGCCGCGGCUAACUACUUGCGAGCAGCCGCGGUAAUACGUAGGGGGCGAGCGUUGUCCGGAAUUAUUGGGCGUAAAGGGUGCGUAGGCGGCUUCUUAAGUCAGAUGUGAAAAACCACAGCUUAACUGGGGGGUUGCAUUUGAAACUGGGGAGCUUGAGUUUCGGAGAGGGUCGUGGAAUUCCCGGUGUAGCGGUGAAAUGCGUAGAUAUCGGGAGGAAAACCAGUGGCGAAGGCGACUACCUGGACGACAACUGACGCUGAGGCACGAAAGCUAGGGGAGCAAACA
Molecule: ribosomal RNA, 400 nt
Filed under: uncultured bacterium
Lineage: Bacteria
Description: partial 16S ribosomal RNA
Rfam family: Bacterial small subunit ribosomal RNA
Source: RNAcentral